Molecule: ribosomal RNA, 274 nt
Filed under: uncultured bacterium
Lineage: Bacteria
Description: partial 16S ribosomal RNA
Rfam family: Bacterial small subunit ribosomal RNA
Source: RNAcentral
AUACAGAGGGUGCGAGCGUUAAUCGGAAUUACUGGGCGUAAAGCGCGCGUAGGCGGCUACUUAAGUCAGAUGUGAAAUCCCCGGGCUCAACCUGGGAACUGCAUCUGAUACUGGGUAGCUAGAGUUUAGGAGAGGGAAGUAGAAUUUCAGGUGUAGCGGUGAAAUGCAUAGAGAUCUGAAGGAAUACCAGUGGCGAAGGCGGCUUCCUGGACUAAAACUGACGCUGAGGUACGAAAGCGUGGGUAGCAAACAGGAUUAGAAACCCCAGUAGUCC